AGCGUUGUUCGGAAUUACUGGGCGUAAAGGGCGCGUAGGCGGCCAACUAAGUCAGACGUGAAAUCCCUCGGCUUAACCGGGGAACUGCAUCUGAUACUGGAUGGCUUGAGAUUGGGAGAGGGAUGCGGAAUUCCAGGUGUAGCGGUGAAAUGCGUAGAUAUCUGGAGGAACACCGGUGGCGAAGGCGGCAUCCUGGACCAACACUGACGCUGAGGAGCGAAAGCCAGGGGAGCAAACGGG
Molecule: ribosomal RNA, 240 nt
Filed under: uncultured bacterium
Lineage: Bacteria
Description: partial 16S ribosomal RNA
Rfam family: Bacterial small subunit ribosomal RNA
Source: RNAcentral